Elaeis guineensis (African oil palm) is the source of this 731-nucleotide long non-coding RNA. RefSeq lists it as uncharacterized. NCBI's taxonomy places the organism in Eukaryota, Viridiplantae, Streptophyta, Magnoliopsida, Arecales, Arecaceae. The record is from RefSeq and is a predicted model, not a curated record.
AAAAGGUGGCGGCGGCGGUGGCGGCGGUAGCCAUGAUGCAUUGCUUGUUUUGGGUGUCUGAGGUAAACAUGUAGGCUUGGGUGGUGGCUUUGGCACUCUUGGCAAUCUUUCCCUGGUUGCUGUUGGUGAACCUGAAAACUCUGGCCUAGAAAUUGAGUUGUCACAUGUUAAUCCUUCAUCUGUGUUGUUGCUCUGAACCAUUUGCUUUUCCUGCAAGAAACUGUUAUUGCCGAUAGAACCUUGCAGCUUCUUCCACAGCAUGGAUCUACGAUCGGAAUCUUGGGCUCGAAGUGAAGCUAUUUGGAUUUUCAGAUUGUGGAUUUCUUGCCUCAAUUGCUCAUUCUCCUUCUCCAGAGAGUGGUUCCUCUCAAGGGAAGCAUUGAGCCUGUUUUUAAGGAGAGCAACUGAUGAUGCAAUCUUUCGUCCCUUUCAUUCUUCUAAUUGGCUGGUAGGUGAGAUUACUUAAUUCUCCUCUGCUAAAAGAUCUGCGACUCUCUCGAAAGAAAAGCAAGAAGACAUUUAGGUAAGGGUGAGCUUGUCAUUUGAGAAUGGUUUCAUGACUGAGAUGUACUUUUUCAGGUAGGUAAGUCUGGGUUCAUGGUCAUAAUUGGGUUUGCUUGGGGUAAAAAUGGUUGAUACGGGGUAGCUGUCUUGGCAAGGUAUGUUGUUGGACUCUCACUAAAAUUACUGGUCAAAGGACUAAAGAUGGCCAGCUUUUCUUUUCUUCUUUA